UUUUUUGUUUUUUUGAGAGUAAAGUGUAACAAGUCUCCGUAGGUGACCUGCGGAGGGAUCAUUAAGAUGCGUCCAGCCUUUGCGCGUGGCGGCCCUCGGGCUGCCCCGCGCACGCCCUGCAUCCUCGAUAUUACAGCACCUUGCGUUCUCCUUCGGCGGGUCAGCCCGCCGUUGGAACCGAAACACUCACCUCUUGCAUGCAGAAAUAACCGUUCCGAAACAAACAAUCGUUACAACUUUCAACAAUGGAUCUCUUGGCUCUGGCAUCGAUGAAGAACGCAGCGAAAUGCGAUAAGUAGUGUGAAUUGCAGAAUUCAGUGAAUCAUCGAAUCUUUGAACGCACAUUGCGCCCCUCGGUAUUCCGUGGGGCAUGCCUGUUCGAGCGUCAUCUACACCCUCAAGCCCUGCUUGGUGUUGGGUGCCUGUCCCGCCCCGCGCGGCGACUCACCCCAAAUGCAUUGGCGGCGGCCCUUGCCCCUCCCGCGCAGCACAUUGCGCUUCUCGAGGCGGCGGGACCGCGUCCACGAAGCCGACACCCGUCUUUGACCUCGGAUCAGGUAGGGAUACCCGCUGAACUUAAGCAUAUCAUUUAACGCGGAAGGAAA
RNAcentral lists this ribosomal RNA (605 nucleotides) under fungal endophyte. RNAcentral's name for it is "eukaryotic LSU rRNA". The stretch from base 235 to 388 matches the Rfam family "5.8S ribosomal RNA". The record is from RNAcentral. Lineage: Eukaryota; Fungi.